This is a long non-coding RNA of Brassica rapa (field mustard), 4771 nucleotides long. RefSeq lists it as uncharacterized. The record is from RefSeq and is a predicted model, not a curated record. Lineage: Eukaryota; Viridiplantae; Streptophyta; Magnoliopsida; Brassicales; Brassicaceae.
CGACUCCGACUGGUGACUUUUUCGGAAACACUAGAAAUGAAUAGAAAACUAACGUAUAGAAAUAAAAUUACAGAAAUGAAAAUGAAUGUUUGUUCCUUAUCAAAUUUAGGGUAUGAAUGGUGACCAAGAAACGACGAGGAACAAAUGCAUUCUCUAACAUUCCUUAAAAAAAUCAUCAUUCAUAAGAAAUAAUUUUUCCUUCACAUUCCCUACCAUUCCUUUUUUUUGUAGAGAAAUAAAGAACAAAUUAAUUCCUUGUUAAAUAUGGGAUGGAACAACCAUUCCUUUUCAUUCCUGCAAUUCUAUUCCUCUACGUUCAUUUCCUAUUCGUUCUUCUUGUUUUCAGAAUGGUCACCAGUCGGAUCCUUAACAAAAAAUGUUUUUGUUCUAUAUUUCUCUACAAAAAAAAGGAAUGAAAAGGAACAAGAAGGAAAAACUAUUCCUUUUGAAUGGUAAUUUUUUUUUUGGAAUGAUAAGGAAUUCAGUGUUCCCUUUCUUUCCUUGGUCACCAUUCAAAGCUUCAUUUUAAUAGGUAAAAAGAUCAUAAUAUUCUAAAUAUAUAUAAAAUAAAAUAAAAAACUAUAAAAUAAAAUAAAAUAUUUUUUAUAUAGUUUUAGAUUAUAUGUUUUCAAAUUCGAACUUUUUUAUAAUUUUUUUUUCGAUUUUUUUUUUAUUUUUUUUUCAAAUUUUCUUUUUGUAAUUCAAAAAUAUUUUUUGAAACUAUUUUUAAAUUUUUUAUUGGAAAAUACUCUAAGAUAUCACUAAAAACGUUUUAGUCACAAAUAUAGACUCUAAGGAUCAAAAUGACCUAAAUGUUUUAAUAAAUAUACAUUUAUAUCUCUAGGGUUAACUAAUCCAUAGAGUCAAUGGGUGAAGAUUUGAGAUUGAGGUUUAAAACUUUAUAAAAUAAAAAAUAAUAUUAAAAAUAUGAAAAUAAAAAUUUUAAAAAUAGUUUCACAAAAUAUUUUUGAAUUACAAACAAAAAUUUGAAAAAAUAAAUAAAUAAAAAAUUUUGAAAAACAAAUUUCAAAAAAAAAAGAUUAUUAAAAAGUUCAAUUUGAAAACAUAUAAUCUAAAACAAUAAAAAAAUAUUUUUUUUAUUUUUUAUUUUUUAUUUUUUUAUAUAGGUAGGGUAUUGGGGUCUUUUUACCUAUUAAAUAAAACAUUUUGGUUAUUUUCCUUCUUGUGGUCUAUUUUUGUGACCAAAACUUGAAAAAUGUCUAUUUAGGAGAAUUACCCAUUUUUAUUUUCAAAAUUUUAAGAUUUAUUUUUUAAUUUAUAAAAUUUUAAACCUCAAUCCCAAAUCCCCACCCGUUAACUCUAGGAGUAUAAAUAUAUAUUUACUUCUUUAAUGAAAUAUUUUGAUCAUUUUGAUUCUUAGAAUCUAUAUUUGUGAUCAAAAUUUUUUUAGUGCUAUCCUUAGGUAUUUUCUAAAUAAUAAUAUGAAUGUAUUACAUAAUCCAUAUGGUAGAUAAGUAGAAUAUAAUAAAUUAGUUAUCUAACCAAAUAAAUCAAAAUGUAUUCAAUCAUUCAAUAAUCCGAGUAACAAUAAAAUAUAGAAAUUAUUUGAAACAAAUUUAAAAAGGAAAUAAUGUUUUCUGAUUUAACAAUAUUUUAAUAUUAAAAAUAGUUAAAAAGAAUAUAGUCUCUAAAUCCAGAUAGUUCCCAAAAAACAUAACGUAGUUAAUUUCUAUUGGAAAAAUCUAAAAUAAUAAUUAUUAAAUGGAAAUAUAUGAAUCUAACUAAAUGUGGUAGAAUCUGACAAAUUAGUUAUAUAAAAAAUAAUUUAAAAUGUAUUUGAUCAUUCAAAUAAAUAACUGUAAAUGUUUAUCUAAUUUAGUAAAAUAAUUAAUUAAUUUAUUAGAAAUGAUUAAAAAGAGUAUCUAUACUAUACUAAAAGUUAAAUAUACUCAAAGGAGAGCUAUGCCACAUAGGAUUAAAAAUUCAACCAAUAGAAAAGAGUCAUCUGUCCCAUCUCCUAAAGCAUCUCUCUCUUCAGCUUUUGUCGCGGUAAGGUUAACGAUUCUGGCCUUUUCCACUUCUUCAUUCAUCUUCAUCGCCUUCCCUUUCAGUUGUAAAUCACCAUGUCAGUUCUGAUUUUGUUGGCCUUUUACCAUCAAACAGAGAAUACUAGGUCGAUUUAGGUUUGGAAGUCUUCCAUCUGAUUGGAAUCUGUACCAUCUUAUUCAGUGUUUCCCAAUUUGUUUAUAUCACAAUGCUGCAACUGUAAUUAACAUCUCAAGCAGAUGUAAAUUUCUCAAUCAGAUGAUGUGGAAUUGUUGUUUUUCCUUCCAAAGCAAAAGUUUUUCGUUUUUAAUUUCUGGAAGUUGCUCGCUAUUCUUUCUUCGGUGUUCGUAACUCUCCUCUCCAUUAUGCUGCCGCCCAGUGCCACCACGAAGUAUCCCAGUUUGUAAGAUCUCAGAGAUUUUAACAAGUUUUGACUUUAUGGUAAGGAUGAUCCUAAUAUGGGUUUUGUUGUUUAUAUCCACAGAUAUUUUAUGUGUUGGUGGAAUCAGGAGUUGAUAUCAAUCUCUGUAACUAACGUGUACAGGUUAUAGCUCUGUACAAACGACUUUGGUGCAGGCUUGCCAACAUGGUCAUUUGGAGGUCGUUUGAUUCUCAUUCGUUUUGGUGCUAAUGUAAGCAUUUGAUAAACUUUUAUUCUCACAAAUUGAGUGAUUGUGUUUGAUUAAUCGGGUUGAUAGAAUCACAUAUCAUGUUAGAUAACAGUAGUCCUCUUUAUAUCAUGUUACAGUGAAGUGACUCAGCUAACCAAAUCGUUUUUUUUGUUGUGGUGUGUGUCUUGAUGAAUCAGUCUCGCUGCUCUAUGUUGAUGCUAUCUGUUAGACGAAUGCCGCUUAAUAAUGUAGGCAAGUUUAAGAGCUAUCAGAUCGCCACUAAGACCCAAAACAAAAUUCAACUUCAUUGCCUGUUUUAUUUUUGUUUUUAAUGUUUCUCAGAUUAAUUAAAGAGGAGCUAUAGUGGAAGAUAAGAUCAAGAAGAACAAGACCAAGAACAGAGCAGUCCAUCUAUAUGUUGAGCUCUGCGAAUACACAGAACAAAUCAGAAAGACAAGACAUGGUCCUUUUCUAGAAGCUAAUCUGCUGUUGCGUGUUAUGGAUGGCUGGUGGUCACAGCUCAGAGGCUUCGUCUUACAUUUUAUCACUUUUUCAGAAUCUCAGGAACUCUAUGUUUUGGAACCACAAUUGGGCAUCACGCUGGUCUAGAAUCGGUGGAGUUCUGGAACUGUUUAGCUAAAGAGACUAAACGAUCUAGAUUUCACAUUUUGCUUAAGAUCAAACAAGGAAACAGAGGUAAUAGUGAUUGUAUUCCUCAUUCAUCAAUUAUAAUCGAGUGUUGUGUAUACUAAAAGUUUUACUUGCUUUCUUUUUGUUCAAUUUUUAUUUUUUUAAUUUUUUUAACGACUUCUACUAUAUUAUUCAUUAUUCUAUUGGUUAUUUGCUACUCAAUGCCAGUAGGCAGUAGCCAUAUCCGUUUGUUAUAAUAUAAUGACUCCUAACACUUCUUUCUAACUGAUUUUGUAUUUUGUAUUUAUUUCAUCACAAAACUUCUAUAAAUGUUUUAUAAAUGAUUCUUAAGUAUUUAGACCAUUUUCAAUGAUACACAAAAAAAAUAAUCUAGAAUUCAUUCUAAAAUAGAGUAAGUCUAUUAUAGAGUUGGAUUUGCUCCAAUGGUUCACUCUAUAAUAGAGUUACUCUAUAAUAUAGUGGAUUAUAAAUUAAUGUUAUUUUUUGUAUCAUUGGAGUUAAUUAGGAGAAUUUAGUUUAGUCUUAUUUUGUCUUAUUUUUUAUCAUAGAUUUGAGUUAAUUAUGAAAAUUGUUAUUUUUACAAAAAAAAUUAGAAAGUGUAUCAAACUUAUGGUAAUAUUAGAAAUCCCCUAAUUUAAUAACAUUUAAAUAUGUAAUAUGAGCGUUUGUAUAUGAACAAUUUAAUAUAUAUCAUACAUUAGAAGGCACAUUGUCCUAUUUUGGUUGUUUUAAGUAUCUUACAAACAUUUGUAUUAUUUUAAUACAAAAAAAAAACUAACUAGAUGCAAAAUCACAACCCAAAUCUUAAUUAUUAUUUUUAACAAAAAUAUUAUUUCGAUUUAUAUUUAAUAAUCUAUUGCGAUUGUACCAUACAAGAUAUUUCUUAACAUGUAUUUUUUUCUUAAUGGGGAGAAUUCACGUAUCAGGAUACAAAAAUAUAUAAGACCAUCAUUAAUUUUAGUCUUCUAACUGGGGUUCUUACCUUUUUCUUAGAUUUUAAUUUAAAAAAAAACUAAGAACCGUCUCAUAAAUAAGAGAUAGAAGAUCCGUCUCUUACCCGAAAAUUGUUAAAAAAACACAAAAAAUGUCAAAUCAUGAGUUAAGAACUCCGGUAAGAGAUCAUGAUUAAUCAUGCCAUAACCAACGCUUUGUAUCUAAUAUCUAUAAUGUCUUUAAUUUUCAUUCUUGGAAAAUCGAUGUUGAAAAAUAGGAACCUCAUGAAAACUAAUAACAUUUAAGAAAAUGAGAUUUAGCAGAGAACGACAUAUAGAAAAUAAUAUUUAGUAGAGAUAUUUAGUCUUCAUAACAUAAGAACCUCAUGAAGUGUUUGAUUGGUAGAAGCUAUAGAUUUAAUUACUUUGCUUUAGAAUAUAAAAUGUAAGUCUUUCUAUUGUAGCUAUAUAAUCUAUUGAUAUAGAUUUAUAUCAAUAACUUUCAAAUAACUUUGCUCAAAAAAACUUUCAAAUAACAAAAUAUAAAAUUUAAGAAAAAAAAUUGAUUUU